RNAcentral lists this non-coding RNA (24 nucleotides) under Arabidopsis thaliana (thale cress). The record is from RNAcentral. Lineage: Eukaryota; Viridiplantae; Streptophyta; Magnoliopsida; Brassicales; Brassicaceae.
UACUCACCGGGCAUGGGAUUGAUG